AGAUAUGGCACGACCAUCACUCAUUUAUCUGACUACCGCAGGCCUCUAUCUCGUCUUUAAGUAAAGAAGAACCAGGCUGUUGAAACAUAUGUAAUGCUUUCAGUUUCAUAUCUGAGGCGCUAGAUAGGGCCACACUAUCUUUUCCCUGGAAAUACUCAGUCGUAGUAUGUUCUUGCCAAGGUGAAGAAUGAGAUGGAGAGAAUCUGCUGCUCCUGCUGUGUAUUACUGACUCAACAAGACCUUGACUUGUUUUGGGUGGUUUGUGGAUUUUACUGGUUGUGGAAGGAGGUAUGCAAGGAUAACAGCUCUGAGUCUUCACCUAUAAUGCCUGAGUUUGGAGAACACCUGACAAGAGACCAUUUCUUCAUGCAGAAUCUCUCCAGAUCCUUAGAUCCUACGACUAAGUUUUAAACCUGUUUGAAAUCUAGUCUUCAAGUGUGUAUACUGUCCUGUUAGAUGAGAGCAGUAAUGAAAUGGCAAGAGAGUGAAAGAGUGCAAAAGAGAACUAAAACAAUAAAUAAAAAAACAUCAAACUGUUCUGCACAUUUCCCGAAGCAGACUCAUCUAUAUUUUCAUCUUUUCUUUUUCUUUUUUCUCCCUAUUCUGUGACUCUGUAUAAACAUGACUGCAAGCUCUUCCUCCUUGUUGCUUGUUGACAUGUCAAGAAUAAACUCUCCUGUUUCUGUG
Molecule: long non-coding RNA, 687 nt
Organism: Ctenopharyngodon idella (grass carp)
Lineage: Eukaryota; Metazoa; Chordata; Actinopteri; Cypriniformes; Xenocyprididae
Exons: 2
Source: RefSeq, a predicted model, not a curated record